GAGCCCAGCGCAUAACCUGGCGUCGUGACCCGGCGCCAGGGGUGUUGCGUUUCGGAGGGUCCGGCACGCAGUCUCUCACCGCCUAAGUUAUGCUUGAAAGCGGCCACUACCCAUGGAGGGUGACAGGCCCGUGUGGCGGCGCCCGCGAGGGUACACGAGAGAUUGUCGGAAAGGGCCUCUCCGUAGAGUCGGGUUGCUUGAUAAUGCAGCCCUAAGCAGGUGGUAAACUCCAUCUAAGGCUAAAUAUGACCACGAGACCGAUAGCGAACAAGUACCGUGAGGRAAAGUUGAAAAGAACUUUGAAGAGAGAGUUCAAGAGUACGUGAAACCGUUAAGAGCCAAACGGGUGGGACCUCGAAGGUCGAACCGAGGGGAUUCAGCUCGUCGGCCCAUGUCGGCCGGGUGUGGGAUUCGCUGAGGCGACCCAGGAACUCUUGGGCGUGCCCGCACCCGAGCUGGCGCCGGCGGGCGUAUUUCCCCUCGUGAUGUAGGUCGCCGCGACCCGUUGCUGGGGACGUCUAAGGCCCGGGCGGACUGGUACCCCGACGUCGCGCGCCUCACCGCGCCGGCGAAGGGGGAAACCUCCGGUGUCCUGGCUGCCCUGCGACGGUCGUGUAGCAGAGGRGCGGCGAAGCCCGCCUUUCCUCUCGCGGCGUGCAAAAGGUCGGUGACCCACCCGACCCGUCUUGAAACACGGACCAAGGAGUCUAACAUGUGUGCGAGUCAUUGGGCGCACUAAACCCAAAGGCGCAAUGAAAGUGAAAGGCCCGGGGUCUUUUCUCCGGGCCGGGGCCGAUCCCCGACCGGCCGAUGCCGCCGUUUGGUCGUACCGUUCCAAAGCGGGGCCCUCGAGGCGGCGCGCGCGGAGUGAGACCCUUUCCUCCGCCGCGCCGUCGGYUCCGUGGGCGACCCGGCGCGCUCGGUGGUCCGACCUCGCGUCGCCUGUACGCAGGGGGGCGCAGGCCCGGGACUUGCCAUUCGACGCUGUCGCGCGAAUCUGUUGUUGACCUCAUCGGCUCUGCUUGGGCUCUCGUCUGGCGCGCCGCGUGUCUGGGCGGGUUUCGGGGGGGGGCCUCGGCUCCUUCCCGGGCUCGUUCGGCGCGGUUGCGCCUUGCGAUCCUGCUCUGUCCGGAGUGGCCUAGCGCGCGUGCUGUCGGCAAGUACCACGAGCAGACAUGUUGGGACCCGAAAGAUGGUGAACUAUGCCUGGCCAGGAUGAAGCCAGA
Molecule: ribosomal RNA, 1226 nt
Filed under: Callinectes ornatus (shelligs)
Lineage: Eukaryota; Metazoa; Arthropoda; Malacostraca; Decapoda; Portunidae
Description: partial 28S ribosomal RNA
Rfam family: Eukaryotic large subunit ribosomal RNA
Source: RNAcentral